RNAcentral lists this ribosomal RNA (468 nucleotides) under uncultured bacterium. RNAcentral's name for it is "partial 16S ribosomal RNA". It matches the Rfam family "Bacterial small subunit ribosomal RNA", at positions 28 to 507 of the family's 1533-position model. The record is from RNAcentral.
GACGAACGCUGGCGGCGUGCUUAACACAUGCAAGUCGAACGGUGAUGCUCCAGCUUGCUGGAGUGGAUCAGUGGCGAACGGGUGAGUAACACGUGAGCAACCUGCCCCAGACUCUGGAAUAAGCGCUGGAAACGGCGUCUAAUACUGGAUACGAAACUGGCCCGCAUGGGCAUGGUUUGGAAAGUUUUUCGGUUUGGGAUGGGCUCGCGGCCUAUCAGCUUGUUGGUGAGGUAAUGGCUCACCAAGGCGACGACUGGUAGCCGGCCUGAGAGGGCGACCGGCCACACUGGGACUGAGACACGGCCCAGACUCCUACGGGAGGCAGCAGUGGGGAAUAUUGCACAAUGGGCGAAAGCCUGAUGCAGCGACGCCGCGUGAGGGAUGACGGCCUUCGGGUUGUAAACCUCUUUCAGCAGGGAAGAAGCGAAAGUGACGGUACCUGCAGAAGAAGCACCGGCUAACUACGUG